AACAUACUGAGGGAAAGGGCCGCUCGGAAAGGUCUAGGAAUGAACACCCAUCCUCACACCCCAGGAGUGCCUUGGUUUCAGAAAGCAGCUGGAACAUUAAUGGCAAUUCCACUUUCCCAUUCAUCGCCCCCGCCCCCACCAUCCCACCAAGAAACUCAGUGGGAAUGAAUGGUCUACACAGAGAAACUGAAAUCUGGUUAGUCAAGAAGGAAAAAACAGCCAAGUGCCUAGAAUUAAGAGGAUUUUUUUUUUUAAGCUCAGCCUACGGACAACAAAAGCAUGGACUGUAUUUCCCAGCAUCUUUCGCAGCUUAUUGUUGAAAGUCCAGUGAGCUACCUCAGGCUUUUCUCUGUGGAAUGACUGUUGCAGAGAACUGCAACUCAGAAGAAUGGAGUUUAAAACUGUGAUGACAUUCUACCUCAUUGAAGAAAUCCUCCAAUGCCAAGGGUGGAUCUCUAAAGAAGGAUUUAAUCCAGGAUCACAUCUUAUAUUUACAAUAACAUGCCUUUUUUCUCCUUCAGUCCGGAACAGUGUCUCAGCCUAUCUUUGUUCUUUAUGACAUUGACAUAUUUUAAAGAAUAAAAGCCAAUUCUUUUGUGCACCAUC
Long non-coding RNA from Pongo pygmaeus (Bornean orangutan), 606 nucleotides. RefSeq lists it as uncharacterized. The transcript has 6 exons. NCBI's taxonomy places the organism in Eukaryota, Metazoa, Chordata, Mammalia, Primates, Hominidae. The record is from RefSeq and is a predicted model, not a curated record.